This 492-nucleotide ribosomal RNA is filed under the name uncultured bacterium. RNAcentral describes it as "partial 16S ribosomal RNA". It matches the Rfam family "Bacterial small subunit ribosomal RNA", at positions 29 to 507 of the family's 1533-position model. The record is from RNAcentral.
AGUGAACGCUGGCGGUAGGCCUAACACAUGCAAGUCGAACGGCAGCACAGUAAGAGCUUGCUCUUACGGGUGGCGAGUGGCGGACGGGUGAGGCAUACAUCGGAAUCUACUUUUUCGUGGGGGAUAACGUAGGGAAACUUACGCUAAUACCGCAUACGACCUACGGGUGAAAGCAGUGGAUCUUCGGACCUUUGGCGAUUGAAUUAGCCGAUGUCGGAUUAGCUAGUUGGCGGGGUAAAGGCCCACCAAGGCGACGAUCCGUAGCUGGUCUGAGAGGAUGAUCAGCCACACUGGAACUGAGACACGGUCCAGACUCCUACGGGAGGCAGCAGUGGGGAAUAUUGGACAAUGGGCGCAAGCCUGAUCCAGCCAUACCGCGUGGGUGAAGAAGGCCUUCGGGUUGUAAAGCCCUUUUGUUGGGAAAGAAAAGCAGCAGGUUAAUACCCCGAUGUUCUGACGGUACCCAAAGAAUAAGCACCGGCUAACUUCGUG